This 433-nucleotide ribosomal RNA is filed under the name uncultured bacterium. Its description in RNAcentral is "partial 16S ribosomal RNA". It matches the Rfam family "Bacterial small subunit ribosomal RNA", at positions 29 to 507 of the family's 1533-position model. The record is from RNAcentral.
AGCGAACGCUGGCGGCAGGCCUAACACAUGCAAGUCGAACGAACUCUUCGGAGUUAGUGGCGGACGGGUGAGUAACACGUGGGAACGUGCCUUUUGGUUCGGAAUAACUCAGGGAAACUUGUGCUAAUACCGAAUGUGCCCUUCGGGGGAAAGAUUUAUCGCCAUUAGAGCGGCCCGCGUCUGAUUAGCUAGUUGGGGAGGUAACGGCUCACCAAGGCGACGAUCAGUAGCUGGUCUGAGAGGAUGACCAGCCACACUGGGACUGAGACACGGCCCAGACUCGUACGGGAGGCAGCAGUGGGGAAUCUUGCGGAAUGGGCGAAAGCCUGACGCAGCCAUGCCGCGUGAAUGAUGAAGGUGUUAGGAUUGUAAAAUUCUUUCACCGGGGACGAUAAUGACGGUACCCGGAGAAGAAGCCCCGGCUAACUUCGUG